AGCAGCCGCGGUAAUUCCAGCUCCAAUAGCGUAUAUUAAAGUUGUUGCAGUUAAAAAGCUCGUAGUUGAAUUUCGGGAUCAAUAUGUUGGUCGUGCCUCGGUACGUACUAGCUUAUUGGUUUCUCCUUUCUGAAGAACCAUGAUGUCAUUUAUUUGGUGUCGUGGGGAAUCAGGACUGUUACUUUGAAAAAAUUAGAGUGUUUAAAGCAGGCUCACGCUUGAAUACAUUAGCAUGGAAUAAUGAAAUAGGACGUUUGAUUCUAUUUUGUUGGUUUCUAGGAUCGACGUAAUGAUUAAUAGGGAUAGUUGGGGGCAUUAGUAUUCAAUUGUCAGAGGUGAAAUUCUUGGAUUUAUUGAAGACUAACUACUGCGAAAGCAUUUGCCAAGGAUGUUUUCAUUAAUCAAGAACGAAAGUUAGGGGAUCGAAGACGAUCAGAUACCGUCGUAGUCUUAACCAUAAACUGUGCCGACUAGGGAUCGGAUGAUGUUAAUUUUUAAUGACUCAUUCGGCGCCUUAACC
This 520-nucleotide unclassified non-coding RNA is filed under the name uncultured Ambispora. Its description in RNAcentral is "SSU rRNA". It matches the Rfam family "Eukaryotic small subunit ribosomal RNA", at positions 569 to 1093 of the family's 1831-position model. Lineage: Eukaryota; Fungi; Glomeromycota; Glomeromycetes; Archaeosporales; Ambisporaceae. The record is from RNAcentral.